This 64-nucleotide transfer RNA is filed under the name Hebius craspedogaster (Kuatun keelback). RNAcentral describes it as "tRNA-Ile". Lineage: Eukaryota; Metazoa; Chordata; Lepidosauria; Squamata; Natricidae. The record is from RNAcentral.
GGAAGCGUGCCCGAGCAGGGACUACCUUGAUAGAGUAGACACGGAAACAAUUUUCCCGCCUCCC